GAAGUAUUAGUAAAACAAUUACAUAACUUUGUCAARGUUAAAUUAUAGGUUUAAGCCCURUGUACUUCC
This 69-nucleotide transfer RNA is filed under the name Panthera pardus (leopard). RNAcentral's name for it is "tRNA-Asp". The record is from RNAcentral. Lineage: Eukaryota; Metazoa; Chordata; Mammalia; Carnivora; Felidae.